GUCCCUGUAGCACAAUGGGUAGAGCGCUGGACUUCUAAUCCAGAGGUCGUGGGUUCGAAUUUCACCUGGGAUG
Molecule: non-coding RNA, 73 nt
Organism: Trichonephila inaurata madagascariensis
Lineage: Eukaryota; Metazoa; Arthropoda; Arachnida; Araneae; Nephilidae
Source: the annotation of a GenBank genome assembly